RNAcentral lists this ribosomal RNA (461 nucleotides) under uncultured bacterium. Its description in RNAcentral is "partial 16S ribosomal RNA". It matches the Rfam family "Bacterial small subunit ribosomal RNA", at positions 339 to 795 of the family's 1533-position model. The record is from RNAcentral.
CUACGGGAGGCUGCAGUCGAGAAUCUUCGGCAAUGGGCGCAAGCCUGACCGAGCGAUGCCGCGUGCGGGAUGAAGGCCUUCGGGUUGUAAACCGCUGUCGAGGGGGAGCAACUUCCAUAGAGUUAUCUUUAUGGAUUGAGCGAUCCCUGGAGGAAGGACGGGCUAAGUUCGUGCCAGCAGCCGCGGUAAGACGAACCGUCCAAACGUUAUUCGGUAUCACUGGGCUUAAAGAGUUCGUAGGCGGCUAAACAGGUGAGGUGUGAAAGCCCUCGGCUCAACCGAGGAACUGCGCUUCAAACCGUUUAGCUAGAGGAAGACAGAGGUGAGCGGAACUGAUGGUGGAGCGGUGAAAUGCGUUGAUAUCAUCAGGAACACCGGUGGCGAAAGCGGCUCACUGGGUCUUUUCUGACGCUGAGGAACGAAAGCUAGGGGAGCGAACGGGAUUAGAUACCCUGGUAGUC